GCAGAGGAAGAAGCAGGCUCCGUGCACCGGGAGCCUGACGUGGGAUUCGAUCCCAGGUCUCCAGGAUCACGCCCUGGGCCAAAGGCAGGCGCCAAACCGCUGCGCCACCCAGGGAUCCCUAUUGCAGCAUUCUUUACGAUAGCCAGAGCAAGGUGGUAUAAAAGAAAAAGGACAAACCCACGAAGGAAGAACUUGGGAUUUAGUUUCUGCUCUAAGCCUACUUAAUGUAUGACGUUAGACAAUUGUUUGUCACUGACCUUCAGGAUAGCAGUACUUUUUCUACCAAAAACACACAGUUCUUGUAAGGAUUCAUAAUAUAGCUUCACAGAUUGCUCUUUGACCUCGAUCAUAGUGCAGGACUGAAUCAUGUGAGCUGUGAUUUAUAAGAACUGUUUCUAUCAAUGGGAAAAUUAGAAUCAAAGUGACAAAUUGGAGAAAGACUUCAAAAAACCAUUGGAACUAAAGAGUCUAACAUAGCAUAGUUCACUGAUCACAAGCAAAAGACAGUCAACCUAAUGAAUAGGUAAGCCUAAAUCUUAUUUUCAUCAUAUCAUCCUAAAAAGUCAAAAAAUAAAAUACCUAAUUUUGCAGUUGUUAGGAAACAAAGUGUUUGACAUAACUGAUUUUCUAAGUAACUGAUAUUUAUCAUUUCAAAUGUUAAACUACAAAAAAAUUUAUUUUAUUCUAAAAUACAGGCAUAUCUCAUU
Canis lupus familiaris (dog) is the source of this 707-nucleotide long non-coding RNA. RefSeq lists it as uncharacterized. The transcript has 5 exons. The record is from RefSeq and is a predicted model, not a curated record. Lineage: Eukaryota; Metazoa; Chordata; Mammalia; Carnivora; Canidae.